RNAcentral lists this ribosomal RNA (512 nucleotides) under uncultured bacterium. RNAcentral's name for it is "bacterial SSU rRNA". It matches the Rfam family "Bacterial small subunit ribosomal RNA", at positions 28 to 584 of the family's 1533-position model. The record is from RNAcentral.
AACGAACGCUGGCGGCAGGCUUAACACGUGCAAGUCGAACGCCCGUAGCAAUACGGGAGUGGCAGACGGGUGAGUAACGCGUGGGAAUCUCCCCAAAGGUACGGAACAACUCAGGGAAACUUGAGCUAAUACCGUAUGUGCCCGAGAGGGCAAAGAUUUAUCGCCUUUGGAUGAGCCCGCGUUGGAUUAGCUAGUUGGUGGGGUAAUGGCCUACCAAGGCGACGAUCCAUAGCUGAUCUGAGAGGAUGAUCAGCCACACUGGGACUGAGACACGGCCCAGACUCCUACGGGAGGCAGCAGUGGGGAAUCUUGGACAAUGGGCGAAAGCCUGAUCCAGCCAUGCCGCGUGAGUGAAGAAGGCCUUAGGGUUGUAAAGCUCUUUUGCCCGGGAAGAUAAUGACGGUACCGGGAGAAUAAGCCCCGGCAAACUUCGUGCCAGCAGCCGCGGUAAUACGAAGGGGGCUAGCGUUGUUCGGAUUUACUGGGCGUAAAGCGCACGUAGGCGGAUGGUU